RNAcentral lists this non-coding RNA (116 nucleotides) under Bacillus sp. (in: firmicutes). RNAcentral's name for it is "Bacillus sp. Glycine sequence". It matches the Rfam family "Glycine riboswitch aptamer". Rfam says of the family: This family represents the bacterial glycine riboswitch. The record is from RNAcentral. Lineage: Bacteria; Bacillati; Bacillota; Bacilli; Caryophanales; Bacillaceae.
GGACGAAUCUCUGGAGAGACUCCCUCCCAUUGGAGGAAAAAGAGCACCGAAGGAGUAAAUCCGUCUUUUAAUAGAGACGGGAUAAUCUCUCAGGUAAAAAGGACAGAGACAAGCGA